CCUACGGGAGGCAGCAGUGGGGAAUUUUGGACAAUGGGCGCAAGCCUGAUCCAGCAAUGCCGCGUGCAGGAAGAAGGCCUUCGGGUUGUAAACUGCUUUUGUACGGAACGAAACGGCUCUGGUUAAUACCUGGGGCUAAUGACGGUACCGUAAGAAUAAGCACCGGCUAACUACGUGCCAGCACCGCGGUAAUA
This 194-nucleotide ribosomal RNA is filed under the name uncultured beta proteobacterium. RNAcentral describes it as "partial 16S ribosomal RNA". It matches the Rfam family "Bacterial small subunit ribosomal RNA", at positions 338 to 525 of the family's 1533-position model. Lineage: Bacteria; Pseudomonadati; Pseudomonadota; Betaproteobacteria. The record is from RNAcentral.